RNAcentral lists this ribosomal RNA (106 nucleotides) under uncultured bacterium. RNAcentral describes it as "partial 16S ribosomal RNA". It matches the Rfam family "Bacterial small subunit ribosomal RNA", at positions 1379 to 1482 of the family's 1533-position model. The record is from RNAcentral.
CCUUGUACACGCCGCCCGUCACACCAUGGGAGUUGGCUUUACCCGAAGGCGUCGCGCGAACCCGCAAGGGAGGCAGGCGACCACGGUAGGGUCAGCGACUGGGGUG